Molecule: ribosomal RNA, 253 nt
Filed under: uncultured bacterium
Lineage: Bacteria
Also listed under: 2 other names
Description: partial 16S ribosomal RNA
Rfam family: Bacterial small subunit ribosomal RNA
Source: RNAcentral
UACGAAGGGGGCUAGCGUUGCUCGGAAUUACUGGGCGUAAAGGGCGCGUAGGCGGCUUGGCCAGUCAGGCGUGAAAUUCCUGGGCUUAACCUGGGGACUGCGCUUGAUACUGCCAGGCUUGAGGCCGAGAGAGGGUGGUGGAAUUCCCAGUGUAGAGGUGAAAUUCGUAGAUAUUGGGAAGAACACCGGUGGCGAAGGCGACCACCUGGCUCGGUACUGACGCUGAGGCGCGACAGCGUGGGGAGCAAACAGG